This 253-nucleotide unclassified non-coding RNA is filed under the name fungal sp. Its description in RNAcentral is "partial internal transcribed spacer region". The stretch from base 1 to 46 matches the Rfam family "Eukaryotic small subunit ribosomal RNA", at positions 1786 to 1831 of the family's 1831-position model. The record is from RNAcentral. Lineage: Eukaryota; Fungi.
AAGUCGUAACAAGGUUUCCGUAGGUGAACCUGCGGAAGGAUCAUUACCAAAUCCAAUAACAAACCACUGUGAACUGUAUCCAUGUCUUUGGGGGAAGAACGAUGAUCGUGUAAACGAUUACUGGUCUCCCCCAAAAGGAAUAACACAUACCUUUGGGUGUGUGUUUUCCUCAAUUGAACACCUUUAAACUUUGAUGGAUUGUUUUUCAAACGAUUAACAAAGACAACUUUUAACGGUGGAUCUCUUGGCUCGU